RNAcentral lists this ribosomal RNA (410 nucleotides) under uncultured bacterium. RNAcentral's name for it is "bacterial SSU rRNA". It matches the Rfam family "Bacterial small subunit ribosomal RNA", at positions 64 to 507 of the family's 1533-position model. The record is from RNAcentral.
GUACGAGAAAGUGGAGCAAUCCAUGAGUAAAGUGGCGACCGGGUGAGUAACACGUGACUACCUACCCUCGAGUGGGGGAUAACUCCGGGAAACCGGAGCUAAUACCGCAUAACAUCGCAAGAUCAAAGCAGCAAUGCGCUGGAGGAGGGGGUCGCGGCUGAUUAGCUAGUUGGCGGGGUAACGGCCCACCAAGGCGAAGAUCGGUAUCCGGCCUGAGAGGGCGCACGGACACACUGGAACUGAAACACGGUCCAGACUCCUACGGGAGGCAGCAGUGGGGAAUUUUGCGCAAUGGGGGAAACCCUGACGCAGCAACGCCGCGUGGAGGAUGAAGCCCUUUGGGGCGUAAACUCCUUUCGACCAAGACGAUAAUGACGGUACUGGUGGAAGAAGCACCGGCUAACUCUGUG